Cucumis melo (muskmelon) is the source of this 1293-nucleotide long non-coding RNA. RefSeq lists it as uncharacterized. Lineage: Eukaryota; Viridiplantae; Streptophyta; Magnoliopsida; Cucurbitales; Cucurbitaceae. The record is from RefSeq and is a predicted model, not a curated record. The transcript is spliced from 4 exons.
CAAGCAUUUUGAAGAAAAAUUCUCAUCCAACUUCCAUUCUUUUCCUUCUUCAAUUUGAAGAGAAUAUUUAAGAGAGAGUUUGGAAGAAGAAGAGGAAUUUUACUAGAAUUUUGAGGUUGAAGAAGAAGAGGAGAACUCAAGCAAAGUGUAUCCAUGACUGAAUUUUGGUUCAUUCUGCACAUCACUGGUUUUUAAUUCGGUUUGAACUCUUCAAAAAGAAUUAAGAGAAAACAGGGCAGUUGGUUUUCACUCAAAAUCAGGAGGUCUCCGGUUUUUCUUAUAUUUCAGAGUGUACUGAUGGAUUUAGAAUCUCUAUUUGUUAAAUUGUAGGGACAAGUUAAAGGGGUCGUAUGCGCGCGAAUUCUGGAAGUUUUUCUGUUUCGAGGGUUAUCAGAGUUUAUUCAUAGGGAAUCAGAUUUAUAUGUCUUCAAGUAGAGAUCGAUUGCUAGUACGUGUUUUGAGUUGGGCAUAGAGUUUGUUGUGUUAUGAUGUAUAUACACCCUUGUAUGUUAUAGAUACUCCAUAGUUUGUAUAACCUUUAGGAGUUUUAGUUGUGUAAAUUUUGUUGGUUAUAUUUUGAUUAAGGUGUCUUUAGGUUUACUCGUGAAAUCGGUAAAUUUUGAGGUACACUUCAUGUAUGUGUUUGACUAGCCUAGGAUCCACUGUGUUUUGUUGCAUGUAUAAUAGUUUAUAUACUAGAUUGGCAAGUUCAUCACAUGAAAGUUUUAAGUAGAGUCGACAGAUACAGGUACAGAAAAGCGUUGUUCGUCGGCUUCAUGCCAUCUUUCGGUCUAAGGUAGCAGGUAGUCCAGGAGGGGGUGUGACACCAAUCAACUAAGGAUGCUCAACUAAAAGAGGCGAAAGGUUUCGUGAAGACUCUACAACUUGAUGAGAACCGUCUAUUGGAGGUGACAAGCAGCUUCCAACAUCGACUUGCACGACUAUCUGCCAAGGAGGUUAAACUAGAAGCAAAGCGAAAAGCGGUAUGCACAAAGUCUAACAAACUUUCUGGUUUAAUUUCCAAAAAUGACAUGAAACUAAAGCAGAAGCAACAUGAUAUUUUGAAGACUUAUGAGGAAAUUGACAAACUCGAAUGUGCCCCCAUCGUUGAUGAUGCUGAUGUUAAACUACUGUCAGCCCUUUGUGAAUCUUGAGAAAACACACAAGAGGAGUUGAAACACCUUAAAUGGACUCUCUGAUUUACAACCUCCUAUUAUUUAUCCUUUUUUGUUGUCUUGGCUUUUGAAACCAAAAUUCACAAUAAAACGUUCACUUUGAUCGUUCGACGUCUUA